Long non-coding RNA from Oncorhynchus gorbuscha (pink salmon), 648 nucleotides. RefSeq lists it as uncharacterized. Lineage: Eukaryota; Metazoa; Chordata; Actinopteri; Salmoniformes; Salmonidae. The transcript is spliced from 2 exons. The record is from RefSeq and is a predicted model, not a curated record.
AUGCCAUCCAAUGUUGUUAUGUAAUGUUGUUUAUCUAUAUUUCAACAGGACAAUGACCCAACACACCUCAAGGCUAAAGUUUGGACACACCUAGUCAUUCAAGGGUUUUUCUUUAUUUAUUUUACAUUGUAGAAUAAUAGUGAAGACAUCAAAACUAUGAAAUAACACAUAUGGAAUCAUGUGGUAACCAAAAAGAGUUUUAAACAAAUCAAAAUAUAUUUUAGAUUAUUCAAAGCAGCCACCCUUUGCCUUGAUGACAGGUCACAAGUUGAUGUUUUAACACGUUACCUCAUUCAUGACCGGCUGGGAUUGAGCCACGUUCUCCUUCACACUGUAGACAUUGUGAUGGGCUCAUCUUAAUCAGUCUUUCUUUAUUGGAGGAGUUCGUUUUCAUAAGCAGUAUUGCAGACUCUGUGACUGCUGUCUUCCUGUGACUGUGUGAGCCAUGGUGACGUUGAUGUUUUUUCUAAAGGGAUUCAUUAGUGUGUUCAGUACUGCCAAAUUCUCGAUCAACUCUUGAAGGAAUUAUUUUCAAGACAAUUCCCAUGGAGGUCAAAGUUAUUUUCUGGCAACCUUUUCAGUACAAUAUUUUUAUUGAGACAGAUACAAUUUAUAUUCUUCUGAUACAAUAAAAUAUAUUUCUUUGCA